RNAcentral lists this ribosomal RNA (321 nucleotides) under uncultured eukaryote. RNAcentral's name for it is "partial 18S ribosomal RNA". It matches the Rfam family "Eukaryotic small subunit ribosomal RNA", at positions 1470 to 1796 of the family's 1831-position model. The record is from RNAcentral.
CCCUUAGAUGUUCUGGGCCGCACGCGUGCUACACUGAGUGGAUCAGCGGGUCAGGUUGCGCGAAAGUGUUUCCUAAUCUUGAAAUCCGCUCGUGAUGGGGAUUGACGGUUGCAAUUUUCCGUCAUGAACGAGGAAUACCUUGUAAGCGCGGGUCAUCAUCCCGCGCUGAAUACGUCCCUGCCCUUUGUACACACCGCCCGUCGCUCCUACCGAUUGAGUGGUCCGGUGAACUGGUCGGACUGCUGUUUGAAAUUGCGGGUGCAGUUGAUUCACGGGAAGUCUAGUAAACCUUAUCAUCUAGAGGAAGGAGAAGUCGUAACA